This 1932-nucleotide long non-coding RNA is filed under the name Homo sapiens (human). Its description in RNAcentral is "HSALNT0145031". Lineage: Eukaryota; Metazoa; Chordata; Mammalia; Primates; Hominidae. The record is from RNAcentral.
UCUGGAACACGGCCUGGGGGUGGUAGCAGAUGGUGUGGCCUGUGUAACAGACGGGCAGCUGGUGGCUCAGGGCUCCCUGUCUCCUGGGGGGCUGUAGCCCACCCCUGCCCCUCUUCAGCCCCAAGCUCCUCCUCAUCCACCCCCUUUCCUCUCUUGUGGGUGGUGAGUCAGGGAGGGUCAAGGGUGCUUGGGUGGGGGCAGGCCUGGGGGUCUUUAAGCCCGGCCUCGCCCUCCCACCUAUGAAGAGUGUCACCCAGGUCUUGAUGUGGCAGGAGUGGCUGUGCAGGUAGCUGAGGGCCUGUGACAAGUGGAUGCUGAAUUCCUCCUGGCUGCGGGUCAUCUGGCCGGAGGAGAGCACACCUGGCUGGGACGGGCUGGGGGCCCUGGGCAUACCAGGGUCCUCCAGCCCCAGUUUGCCUUGCCCAGCCCCUGGAGCUGCUAUAGCAGCUGUGUGUGAGACGGGAGUGAAUGGGGGAGCCGCAAGCCUGGUCUCCCCCACUCCCUGGCCCUGUUCCUCCCCACCGAUCCCAGGCCUCUCACCAGGCAGGUCCAGAGGAAGUGGCGGGCGCUGAGGCCCCUCUCCCAGGCCAGCGUGCAGAAGAGGGUGUGCAGUAGCCGCCAGCGGAGCAGCACAGCACAGCGGUAGAAGGUCCCCGAACAGUGCCAUGGCUGCCGCCCGAAUCCCGUCCCGCUCCUGCAAGGCAGAGGCUCAGAGGCACGGCCAGACCUGUCCAGGGGUCCCAGCUUUGGUCCAAGUUGGGACCCCACACCUUGUAGGGGUACAACUCAGUUCUUUCUGCAGGAUUCCUUCACCCAGGCUCUCGGCUCCCGGGGAAGGGAAGGGCUGGGGCUCCCCCCUCACACAGGGCUCUCUGGUGUCCCUGAGGAUGUAAGAAUCACAUCUCCCUUCUACCCACAACUGCAUCCUGGCAGCCCAGGCCUCAUGAAUGCAUUUGAGGGGCGCCUAUCCCCCAGAUUCCCCAGUGAAGGAAAAACAGCCACGCUAACCGUGCUGACAUGUCAGAAAGCAAAUCUGGGUAGGCUGUCGUGGGGCCGGAGACCACUGCACUUGGAGACUGAACGUGAGAACUAGUUCAGCCCUGUGGAGAAGGGCCAGUUCCGUCUUCUCCACUUGAUUGCGUGUUUGCAGUGAUUUCCUGAGUUAUCGGGAUGAAUGGUCAGAAAGCAGUGUGCCCACCAAUGGAUGUUUCCUGCCAUUGGGCCCCUUAGCAGUGACUUGGGUGCAAACCAGGGUGAUUUUUACAACUUUUAAACAAGUUUAAAGCAGCUUUGUUGGCUUUCUUAGCUGUUUGCUUUGAAAAUAUUAAAUUCAUUUUCAGCAAGUGAGUCAUUCAACAGUUACACUUUCUGAGCAUCUAUGUUUGCAGCCAGUGUUCGAAGACCAGGGUUCUGGCCAGGUCAGAGCAGGACAACAGAAUGAAAUUGUAAUGGAAAUGGUGAGAAAAGAAAAGAAAAAUGCAUAGCAUGGCGUAUUUCCACUCAGAGUGGAGUGGGGUGGCCUGCCCCAGCCACACCUGGUUCAGCCUUCCCAUCCCCAAGCCGGCAGGCCUCCCUGGCUGGCAGUGCUCUCGGGGCCUGUCUCCUCUGGUCUGCUGUGGCUGCUUGCCCAUAUCCCACCUGAUGCCAGGCGGGGAACCAUUCCCUCUUCUCUGGACCUGGUCCUCCUGAUCUAGCAGGGCCCUUCUUUGCCUUUCUGUAUUCCCUGUAUUCAGUGCAGGGUACAGAGGAGGCACAUGGAAACUUCCUACUGAUCAUUUCCCUGCCUGAGAGAACAUUUGGUGCACAGAUAACCGAACACUGAAUGAAUGAAUGAGGGAGCAAACGUGAAUAACUGGGUGAAUGAAUAGACAUAAAAAGAAUGAACAAAAUAAAUAAUGCAAGAAUGGGUCACAGAUGAAGGACCCAAGGAAC